Salvelinus fontinalis (brook trout) is the source of this 5961-nucleotide RNA transcript. It is a transcript of the gene named oocyte zinc finger protein XlCOF8.4-like, with no coding region annotated. Lineage: Eukaryota; Metazoa; Chordata; Actinopteri; Salmoniformes; Salmonidae. The record is from RefSeq and is a predicted model, not a curated record. The transcript has 4 exons.
CAUGUAACAUUACUCUUACUUUGAAGGAUUAAAAAAAACUUGCCCCGGAAGUUCUUCAUUACUGUUGGCUUCACUGGGGGACGGAACACAACACGCGCUAGCUAGCCAUUGGCAUUAUAUGAAAAAAUGUCUAAAUUGGAGUUGUUGAGAGUGAUUUUUAACCAACGAUGUACAGGCGCUGCAGAUGAGAUAUUCAGAGCCGUUGCAAAAACGAUAUCAGAGUACCAGGACAACGUUAAUCUAUCGAAAGAGGACAACGGUCGUCUACAGGGGCUGCUUGAUGUCAUCCUGAAACCUGAGAUAAAGUUGUAUAGAGCAGACUUUGAGCAGUUCAUUGUCUCUGAAGUGGAGUUUCCCCCUGAGCAGCAGCACUUUAAACAAGAGUGGAGCCCCGAUUUGGGGCAAGAUGACUUGAACCCCAUACAGAUUAAAGAGGAACAGGAGGAAUGCAGGAUCAUCCAGGAGGAGGAAGACUCUGUAUUCACUCCUGCCUGGGUGAAAAGUGACUAUGAUCAGUACUCAACUCAGUCCUCACAAACCCAAAGUGAAGAGUACAAAGACAGAACAAAAUUUAAGGAAGUGGAUUCUUCAAAACCAACCAGUGGCUCUCGGCCCCAGCCCGAAUCAAGGAGGACACAGACAGAAAAGGGAAAAAGCUUUAUCAGCUCCAAGGGUAGAAAAUCAAUGGAUCUGAAAUCACCAGUGCAAAGGAGGCGUCACACAGAAGAUAAAUCAUUUUGCUGUAGUGAUUGUGGUGAACGUUUCACUCAGAUGGGAAGACUGAAUUCUCAUAGGAUCAUGAUACACUCCAGAGGUAAUAAGUUUCGCUGUGAUGAAUGUGGCAAAUGUUUUGCUCAGUGGGGAUAUCUGGAUUCUCAUAUGAGGAUUCACACAAGGGUGAAUUGUGGCAAAGUAUUCACUCGGUCUGAACGCUUCGAACCCUCCUUGACCACUUUGAAGGAUCGCACAGGAGAGAAACUUUAUUGCUGUGUUGAAUGUGGCAAAUAUUUUUCUAACACUGGGUCCCUGAAUUAUCAUAGGAGGUCACACACAGAGAAGAAAUCGCAUCGCUGCCAUGAUUGUGGCAAAUGUUUUUAUAAAUUUAUGGAUCUGAAUAUUCACAGGAGGAUUCACACAGGGGAGAAACCGUAUCGCUGCCAGUUCUGUGGAAAAUGUUAUAAUCAGCAGACUUCUCUAAGUUAUCACAUGAGGAAUCACACAGAGACAUCUUGUAACUGUCAUUAUUGUGGCAAAUAUAUUCGUCAUAAAGGUAAUCUGACAGCGCAUAUGAGGAUUCACACGAGGAAAAUCAGAUAAUUGUUGUUAUAGUAGCAGAUCUUUUAAACACUGGCGGUCACAAGUGCAUAUGAGGAUAAUCAGAUGAGCAAUAAACUAUUUUGCUGUCAGGAUUGUUGUAAAUGGUUCACUCAUUACAAUCUGAAUCGUCUGGGGAGACGAAGGGGAGGAACCACAUUAAUACCAUAACUGACAAAUCUUUCACAACUGCCUUUCAUAUGAGACAUUCACACAGGGGAGGAAUCUUCCAAGUUUUCUGUAGAAAAUGCUUCAGUGCCAGAAGUGCAUUGAAUAGUCAUCAGAGAACACACAGCGAAGAACAACCUUCAAAGCCUAAAGGGUCACCUGAGGACACACUUGAUUGACCUUUACUCUGGUAGCCCUGAAGUCUGAUCUCUAUUCAAAUCAAAUUUGAUUGGUCACAUACACAUAUUUAGCAGCUGUUCUUGCGGUUGUAGCAAAAUGCUUGUGUUCCUAGCUCCAACAGUGCAGUAGUAUCUAACAAUUCAAAAAAAUGCCUUGGGGGUGUGGAAGAAACAAAAGAUCCAAUUCGGGAAAGUUGUAUUACUGUUCGUAAUCCUGAUGAGGGAGUACAGGCUGAGGCUGUUGAAGAGGUGGCUGCAGAACCUAAAGCUAAAGUUAUAUUGACAAUUCACUGUGAAUGAUGUAAAGUCAAAACUAUCACCGUUACUGCUUCUACUAUUACUUGUUCUACUAUUGCUGAUGUGGUACGUGCUGCAAUACAUGGCCACAUAAUGAAAGACAAGUGUAAUUUGGAUCGGUCAACAGGUAGGGGAAAAAAACACCAAAGACUAAAUAAACAUUCAUAUUUUACAUUAUGAGAUCAAACGUUGUACUUCAGCAAGGUCAUACUCCUGCCAAUGUCAACGCCUUGGUAUUAAGAUGUCAACAAAUGUUUAUAUUUGAUCGUUGUCUUCACAGCACCACGCAGGCUCUGCCCUGACGGAUGGUUCAGCUCCCAGUCCAAGUGUUUCAUGUUUGUGAACACUCCUCUGUCUUGCUGACUAAACUCAACUCCAUGGUGAUGGAAGUUUCUGAUGAACUCCAUCAACUACAUUGAUUCUCCCAAGGUCAAAACUUAAAAAAAAAAUGUGUAGCAGGAAGAUCGGAAUGCUGUGAACCAAGAGGUUGUGAGUUCAAAUUCUAGGUGAGGACAUAAUUAUAAUUACUGUAUAAAUGAACAUCCACAAUGUAAUCAUGUGUGUCAAAUGUGUGAGUUGAAAACAUUGUAUGUUAAAAGCACUGUGUGUGUGGGUGUCCCUAACCUUGCCAAUUAGGGCCUUGAUUGGCUCGGCCACAGUAACAAUGGGUGGUGUGUAAAUACAUGUUUUUUUUUGAGGGGACAACAUUUCUUUGGAACCAUCAGGUGGCAACCAACAUGGCAACCAUGUUCUGUGUGAUGUUGAUGGAAUAUUCUCCUAACCCUCAGAAAACUGGAUACGUGAAUGCUCUUGCAACGUUCCCAGGAAACGUGUCUAGAACAUUACUAUUGAAUAUUCUGAGAACAUGGUAACCACAUUCUGGGUAAGUUCUGUUUGAAUGGUCUCUUGGAAACAGUCCUUGCACGUCACUGGAACAUUCUAUGAAAACGUUAAGGGAAUGCACUCUAAAGUUGUGGGAACGUUUGUUAGCUGGGUAUUUCCUUGUUGAGAUUCAAUUGGCACAUGCAUUUGCUCUGAGUUGCCAUCUUAGAGCAACAGCAAUGAGCAAACAGUUGGUUGUAUUUGACUACCGUUUAUUGAAAAAGUAUAGAUUUCAGGAAACGAAGAAGUACAGAGGACAAACAUGGGUACAAGGCAAGUGUUUCAUAAUUUACAUUUUUUUUUUUAAAGUAUUGACCUCAGGCUAAUCGACGUAGUCGGAUCUGAAUUCCACAAAGCCUGGUCUCUGCUCAACUCCGUUGUUGGAGUUCAUCAGAAACUUCAUUCACCAUGGAGUUGAGUUUAGUCAUCUAUACAGUCGUAUGAAAAAGUUUGGGCACCCCUGACAAUUUCCAAGAUUUCCAUUUAUAAAUAAUUAAGUGUUUGGAUCAGCAAUUUCAUUUUGAUCUAUCAAAUAACUGAUGGACACGGUAAUAUUUCAGUAGUGAAAUUAGGUUUAUUGGAUUAACAGAAAAUGUGCAAUAUGCAUCAAAACAAAAUUAGAUAGGUGCAUAAAUUUGGGCACCCCAAUAGAAAAAUCACAUCAAUAUUUAGUAGAGCCUCCUUUUGCUAAAAUAACAGCCUCUAGACACUUCCCAUAGCCUCUAAUGAGUGUCUGGAUUCUGGAUGAAGGUAUUUUGGACCAUUCCUCCUUACAAAACAUCUCCAGUUAGGUUUGAUGGUUGCCGAGCAUGGACAGCCCGCUCCACAGAUUCUCAAUGAUAUUCAGGUCUGGGGAUUGGGAUGGCCAUUCCAGAACAUUGUACGUGUUCCUCUGCAUAAAUGCCCAGGUAGAUUGAGCAGUGUUGUGGGUCGUUGUCUUGUUGAAAUAUCCAGCGCCGGCGUAACUUCAACUUUGUGAAUGAUUCUUCAACAUUAUUCCAAAGAAUCUGCUGAUAGAGUGGAAUCCAUGUGACCCUCAACUUUAACAAGAUUACCAGUACCGGCACUUGCCACACAGCAUGAUGGAACCCCCACCAAAUUUUACUGUGGGUAGCAAGUGUUUUUCUUGGAACGCUGUGUUCUUUUGCCACCAUGCAUAACGUCCCUUGUUAUGACCAAAUAACUCAAUCUUUGUUUCAUCAGUUCACAGCACCUUAUUCCAAAAUGAAGCUGGCUUGUCCAAAUGUGCUUUUGCAUACCUCAAGCGACUCUGUUUGGGGCGUGUGUGCAGAAAAGGCUUCUUCCGCAUCACUCUCCCAUACAGCUUCUCCUUGUGCAAAGUGCGCUGAAUUGUUGAACGAUGCACAGUGACACCAUCUGCAGCAAGAUGAUGUUGUAGGUCUUUGGAGGUGGUCUGUGGGCUGUUUUUGACCGUUCUCACCAUCCUUCGCCUUUGCCUCCAAAUAUUUUACUUGGCCUGCCACUUCUGGCCUUAACAAGAACUGUGCCUGUGGUCUUCCAUUUCCUCACUAUGUUCCUCACAGUGGACACUGACAGCUUAAAUCUCUGCGAUAGCUUUUUGUAGCCUUCCUCUAAACCAUAAUGUUGAACAAUCUUUGUUUUCAGGUCAUUUGAGAGUUGUUUUGAGGCCCCCAUGUUGCCACUCUUCAGAGGAGAGUCAAAGAGAACAACAACUUGCAAUUGGCCACCUUAAAUACCCUUUCUCGUGAUUGGAUGCACUUGUCUAUGAAGUUCAAGGCUUAAUGAGCUCACCAAACCAAUUGUGUGUUCCAAUUAUUCAGUGCUAAGUAGUUACAGGUAUUCAAAUCAACAGAAUGACAAGGGUGCCCACAUUUUUGCAUAGCCUAUUUUUCACAUCUGAUUUAAUUUCAUACAACUUAAUAUUGCUACAUUAAAAAUAUUUGUCUGGACAAUACCCCAGUACUGUAACGGUAGUCCUCUUCCUCUUCAUCCGAAGAGGAGGAGCAUGGAUUGAACCAAAACGCAGCUUCUGAAGUUGACAUAUUUAUUUAAAGAAAAGACGAAAACACGAACUACACUAUAAACUAACAAAACAACAAACGGAGUAGACAGACCUGGACGACGAACUUACAUUAAACACGAAGAACGCAUGAACAGGAAAAUGCCUACAUAAAACAAACAAACAAACAAACAAAACCGAAACAGUCCCAUGUGGCGUAACAUAACACAUACACUGACACAGGAGACAACCACCCACAAACAAACAGUGUGAAAACACCUACCUUAAUAUGACUCUCAAUCAGAGGAAAUGAAAAACACCUGCCUCUAAUUGAGAGCCAUAUUAGGUACCCAUAACCAACAUAGAAACAGAAAACAUAGACUGCCCACCCAAACUCACAUCCUGACCAACUAACACAUACAAAACUAACAGAAAACAGGUCAGGAACGUGACAAGUACUCAGCUUUUAUUAGAAAAUGAAUGGCAUGCCACUGUGAUCAUUUUCUGUGACGACAGAGUAAAUUAUUAUGCAGCCUCAGAGGGGUGCCCAAACUUUUUCAUACGACUGUAUAAUGCACUUCCCAAUUGAAUUAGUGUCUGAUCGCUUGACAUAAUUUGCUAUGAUAUUAAUAAAUUCGUGGACUUUCAAAAUGUCUGUUUGUUUUUGUUGUUGGUAUUUACUGAAAUAUGCACUGAGGGUGCUCAACCUUUUUUUCAUGUGCAGGCCUAGUGUGUGUGUGUGUGUGUGUGUGCACACGUGUCUCAUCUCCCCCCUCUCCUUUCAGUAAAACUGCAACGAACUGUACUCCAGCCUGGCCUUCUCUGGCUCCUCGUCUGAAUAUUGUUACCUGCAACAGAUAACAAGAACAGCCAACAGAGCCACCGCCUGGAUCGCUGGAUUCGACCUCGAGUGGUCCAGGGCUGGAGGAACCUCGCAUGUGGCACACAAUACCCAUUGUGCAUGUUAGACCAUAAAAUGCUUCACAAUGUUGACUAUCUGGUUAGCAACACACAAUUCAGUGCAUGAAGAUUUCUAACGGCUUUGAACAUUUGCAUUAUUUUACUGUAUAAUACUUUAAAUAAGUGUUCACCAACAGGUUAAAUAUGUUGUAAUUUCUAAUAAAAAUCGAUUUCUAUAUA